UCUUGGAAUUUGAACCUGGCAUUUUUGCUUGGGUUCUAAUUCUAAGAAAGAGAACCUGCCUGCUUCAAACAACACGCAAAUUAAGGUGUGACUUUUGGCUCCAUUUUUUGUUAUAUAUAGCUAUCAUCUGCUCUGGAAUAAGCUGGAUUUCUUCCACUGAGUUCAUAUCUCCUUCUGUCUUUUUUGAAAUGCAUUUUAAAGCCUCAUGUUUCUUUCUGGAAAAUCUACCAUAAUGUAACAACAGAUUUUAAAUCUUAUAUGUAUAUUAAUCAGGAUGCCAACAACCACAAUCUAAUACAGUCCUUACCUUUUACUGACAACGUGAAUUUUAAUUAAGUGCAUAAUUAAGAUCUGAAAUGCAGAAUGUAUUUUUGGUCCUGUUUACUGUGUGCAAGAAACUCUAACAUGGAAUAAAGUUGGCCUCCCUGCUACAAAGACUCAACGUAUUACAAAACAAGUGAAUGGCAGCUACAACUGGGUUUUCAAAGACAAGAAACAAGCUUGAUGUUCAUCAAGGCCGUGAGAGAUGUACAUCCAUAGCAUGCUUCCAUGUGCUUCCCUCAAAAGAACACAGGUGGCAACGAUGAACCAGACUUGAGAGCGACAAGGGCAACACUCCGGGAGAUGGUACAGCCCCAAGAAAGAAGGAAUCUAGAUGAGCAUCAUGGAGUUCCCCUGAGUGCCUAUGACCCAGGUUUCAGAUGAGAUACAAUGACCUGGGUCAAGGUAUGAUAAAGUGAGGGUAAAAGCUGUAAAGUGAGGAUGAUAAUGGAACUACAUUCGUUGGAGCAACUCUAGCUGAUGUCAUAAACUGAUGCAAAAAAAAAAAAAAAAAAAAAAACAUGAAAAGGCUCAAACACAAUUGGCACUUAUUUCUUGCUGAUGCGGCAGUGCUGAAUGGUUCCGGAAGGGCGUGACUGUGGUUGGGCAAGCAGGAAUCUCGGCUCCCUGCUAUCACUCAGGGCCAGGAAGAUAGAGUGCUGCCAUCUUUAAGAGGCAUCUCCCUGCAAGAGGAAGAACCAUGGAAGAUCACAUAGAUAUUUUUAUGGGCCAGGCCUGGAAGUGGCCCAAAUUACCUCUAUUAACAUUCUGUUGGCUAGAAUAUCAUACGGCCACACCGCACCACAAGAAAGGCUAGGGAAUGUAGCACAGCUAUAGCCCAGGAAUAGUUCUGGACAGUUAGAAUUCUCUGGCACGAGUGCUAUGUUAGCCCCUGGAGGGCAAAGAAGAUUUUUGUCUAUUUUUUUCCAGUCCUGUGUUCCAAGUAUCUAGAACCAGGGUUAGCAAACCUUUUCCAUAAGAGGCUAGAUAGGAAAUAUCUAGCUUUUGUGGGCCACACAGUCUCCAACACAACUAAUCAUCUCUGCUGUGGUAGCAUCAUACAGAUGUGAAUGCGUGAGGAUGGCUGUGUUCCAAUAAAACUUUAUUUACAUAAACGGGCA
Molecule: long non-coding RNA, 1442 nt
Filed under: Sus scrofa (pig)
Lineage: Eukaryota; Metazoa; Chordata; Mammalia; Artiodactyla; Suidae
Description: lncRNA (ENSSSCG00055000039.1)
Source: RNAcentral